This 496-nucleotide ribosomal RNA is filed under the name uncultured bacterium. RNAcentral describes it as "partial 16S ribosomal RNA". It matches the Rfam family "Bacterial small subunit ribosomal RNA", at positions 28 to 506 of the family's 1533-position model. The record is from RNAcentral.
GAUGAACGCUGGCGGCGUGCCUAAUACAUGCAAGUCGAGCGAGCGGACGAGAAGCUUGCUUUUCUGAUGUUAGCGGCGGACGGGUGAGUAACACGUGGAUAACCUACCUAUAAGACUGGGAUAACUUCGGGAAACCGGAGCUAAUACCGGAUAAUAUUUUGAACCGCAUGGUUCAAAAGUGAAAGACGGUCUUGCUGUCACUUAUAGAUGGAUCCGCGCUGCAUUAGCUAGUUGGUAAGGUAACGGCUUACCAAGGCAACGAUGCAUAGCCGACCUGAGAGGGUGAUCGGCCACACUGGAACUGAGACACGGUCCAGACUCCUACGGGAGGCAGCAGUAGGGAAUCUUCCGCAGUGGGCGAAAGCCUGACGGAGCAACGCCGCGUGAGUGAUGAAGGUCUUCGGAUCGUAAAACUCUGUUAUUAGGGAAGAACAUAUGUGUAAGUAACUGUGCACAUCUUGACGGUACCUAAUCAGAAAGCCACGGCUAACUACGU